RNAcentral lists this long non-coding RNA (2532 nucleotides) under Gallus gallus (chicken). The record is from RNAcentral. Lineage: Eukaryota; Metazoa; Chordata; Aves; Galliformes; Phasianidae.
ACUUUAAAUUGGUUACAUAUAUUCAGUAUUGUUGAAUGCUUUGUGGAAAGUAUGCCUGGACCUGCACAACUGACAAAGUGCAGGAAAUAUAGACCUGUUAGUCCUUUUUCUCAAAGCCCCCUCCAUCUCUGAAGUAAGGAAACAGUGUCUGAGUGCCCUCUGACUUGCUUCAUCUAAGUAGCAAAUGAGCUCCCUUUAGAUCAGAAGUGAACUGGAAAGGAUGAAAAUCUAUUGUUUAUGUCAAAGCUCUGUCUUCUGAAAACUUAAGCUGCAUAUUCGAACAAUCCAUUCUUUAAUAAGAUAAUAGACUAAGUGCAUUUAAGACUGGUUUUCUUCUAACAGUGGUUCUGUUUUCUCUUGUUCAUGGUCCUAAAGGUGAAAAGCAAGUGAAAGUUAUAGCUGUGUUCCUUGAGAGUGUUACUUAUAGCCAAUUUGAAGCAAUUAGUUAUUUUUAAGAGCAAAGUUUCAUGUUUAGCAUUUGUUAAAUAAGGAAAAUGUUUUCUGCACAAAGGUUUGAUGUAAUGGUGAAGGGUUAGGGAGAUGGAGAUCCAUAGAAACUCAAUACACAAAAUCAAAAUCUCUAAAAUAUUUCUCAAGUUAUUUCCUGAAGAGAAAAGAUUGUUUACAAAGUCAGGGUAGUCUUUGCCCCAGAUCCCUGUCUCUUGAAUAGAGCUACAUGUUAAUAUCACAUGCAGGAAGAACUAAGUACCUGUGCAUUGUAAAUCUAGGUAGUGCUGAAACUCUGGGCAUUGAGUUGUAUUGUGGUGCCAUCUACAUCUUGUGUUUGUUUUUUUUUUUUUAAAAAAAAAGAAAACAUGGUUCUAAGAUGUCUGCAGUCUUUUCUUGUGUAACUUACUAAUGGUGUCCUUACAGUCUCACAGGUAACUUGGUUGUGGUAGCUCUCCUUGGAGCAGAUACAGGCUAUGUAAGGGGCAGUCAGAUUGGAACAAGUUGUACUGUAGGUAGGGUCAUAAAACUACUUCUGAAAGAUUGAAUGAGUCAAGUUUAUCAGCACAGCAGUAACAUGAAUCUUGCAGGGUACCAAUGAUCUGUCACAGUCUUGGAAUAUCUGCUGAUAAUGUACUGCCUAUAGGAGCAAUGCUCCUUGCUUUCUGAGAUGUCUAAAGCUGGCCUUUUCUCCUCUGCCUGAAGUUUCUUGCUGCUGUGUGGAGCAGUGGAGUAUUAAAUGUCUUCUAACUUCACUUAAAACAGUUGUAUGUAGCAUGAUAGUUUUAAGCUGUAAGUGGUAAGCUGUUUAAAUCAUUGCUGCUGUUCUGUGAGCUGUGCUGCAGUUUUAAUGAUUUGAAUGGCUAACAGUAUAGGCUAGCACAGAUUAAAAAAAGUCAGCAAGCUCACUGCUGCCUGUUCCUGAAACUGCCAUUUCAGAUGGAUGGUAAGUAGCAUCAGUAUUAAAAUAAUUGGACUGCAGCAGCUGUACUCUAGAAAAACAAACCUACUUCAUGUUCUUCCCUAAACAAACUGAUUACAACCUGAGGAUUUUUUUUUUUUUAAAGAAAACAACAAGACAAACCUAGAUCUAUAACAUGCUGGCUCUAUGUAGGUGCAGAUGGGGGGGAAUGCACACAGAAUGUCAUGUUUAGUACUUGAAGGAAAGAUUCUUCAUCAGAUCUCGGACCUGUUGCAGGCCAUUUAAAUCAGUAAGAUGCACAGUAAAAUGGCACAACUGGAAAUGCCUCCCUCUUCACUUCUGGGCAAAGAGGGUCUUGAAAUUUAUAUACAACCAAAGUCUUCUACUAAGAUUACAAUUUUUCUAGUGUAACUAUGCAUUAGGAUUUGUUUUCACUCAUACAAGCAAAGUUAAAGUUGUAAGUAUCUUAGACUUCUAUAGUGACCUAGGUAAUAUCUAAAACACUACUUAAAUGUAGCUUGCUGUUAUUUGAAACUCACUUUUGACAUUGAAAUAUGUUGUUUUGUGGUUAAUUUAAAUUUUGUGUGGGUUGUUUCUUAAAAGGGCCUUGGUGUUUGUAGUUUGCAUUUUUGUUUGCUGCAGCAAAAAAGAAAGCUGCUUAUGAAUAAAAAGAAAAGUAUGAAUGCACUGCUUUCAAAAAACAACAACAACAAUAAACAACUUUCUGGUUCUAAACACCAACUCAACAUUUGUACACCUUUAACUAGAACCUCUUUUAAUAAUCAUCUUGGUGCUCCAGUGCAGAGCUGUCAGGUUUUACUUCUACAAGCAAAACUGUAUCAGCUUGAAUGGUCAUGCCUCAUUAAGAGUUUGACAUUGUUGCAUCAAUUUCUCUUUGAUAUUACUAAUUUUUAUACAAAGUAUUCAAUAUUUAUUCUAAAACUUUGCUCUGUACCACAAAAAUACAAUUGUUUUGUAAGAUUUGAUUUGAAUAAACAGACUUGUUUCUUUUCUUUUUAAAAAAAAGAAAUUUCUUGUUGCUUUCUUUGUAACUGACAAGCUUGGCUCUGAUGCUUAGAUGCUAUUCUGAGGACAAUGAGGCAGUGUCCUUCCGGGGUGGUGUCUGGGGUUUUUUGUGUUUUGUUUUUGUCGUUGGAGCUUAC